This 440-nucleotide ribosomal RNA is filed under the name uncultured bacterium. RNAcentral's name for it is "partial 16S ribosomal RNA". It matches the Rfam family "Bacterial small subunit ribosomal RNA", at positions 338 to 795 of the family's 1533-position model. The record is from RNAcentral.
CCUACGGGUGGCAGCAGUAGGGAAUAUUGCUCAAUGGGGGAAACCCUGAAGCAGCAACGCCGCGUGGAGGAUGAAGGUUUUCGGAUUGUAAACUCCUUUUGUUAGAGAAGAUAAUGACGGUAUCUAACGAAUAAGCACCGUCUAACUCCGUGCCAGCUGCCGCGGUAAUACGGAGGGUGCAAGCGUUACGCGGAAUCUCUGGGCGUAAAGGGCGUGUAGGCGGGAUAGCAAGUCAGAUGUGAAAUACUAUGGCUUAACCAUAGAACUGCAUGUGAAACUGUUAUUCUAGAGUAUGGGAGAGGUAGGUGGAAUUCGUGGUGUAGGGGUAAAAUCCGUAGAGAUCAAGAGGAAUACUCAUUGCGAAGGCGACCUGCUAGAACAUAACUGACGCUGAUGCACGAAAGCGUGGGGAGCAAACAGGAUUAGAUACCCUUGUAGUC